This 261-nucleotide ribosomal RNA is filed under the name uncultured archaeon. RNAcentral's name for it is "partial 16S ribosomal RNA". It matches the Rfam family "Archaeal small subunit ribosomal RNA", at positions 748 to 1009 of the family's 1478-position model. The record is from RNAcentral.
CAGCCGUAAACUAUGCGCGUUAGGUGUAUCGGUGACCACGAGUUACCGAGGUGCCGAAGGGAAACCGUGAAACGUGCCGCCUGGGAAGUACGGUCGCAAGGCUGAAACUUAAAGGAAUUGGCGGGGGAGCACCACAACAGGUGGAGCCUGCGGUUUAAUUGGACUCAACGCCGGGAAGCUCACCGGAUAAGACAGCGGAAUGAUUGCCGGGCUGAAGACUCUGCAUGACUUGCUGAGAGGAGGUGCAUGGCGUAGACGUCU